ACCCCCGAGGGGCGCUGCAGCGGACAACCGCGAGGCUCGGGGGCAGGGUGAGACACGAUAACGGCGCCCAUUCGCU
RNAcentral lists this non-coding RNA (76 nucleotides) under Alcanivorax sp. RNAcentral describes it as "SAH sequence". It matches the Rfam family "SAH (S-adenosyl-L-homocysteine) riboswitch aptamer". Lineage: Bacteria; Pseudomonadati; Pseudomonadota; Gammaproteobacteria; Oceanospirillales; Alcanivoracaceae. The record is from RNAcentral.